RNAcentral lists this long non-coding RNA (1082 nucleotides) under Sus scrofa (pig). RNAcentral describes it as "lncRNA (ENSSSCG00040036419.1)". Lineage: Eukaryota; Metazoa; Chordata; Mammalia; Artiodactyla; Suidae. The record is from RNAcentral.
GGGAGCGGGACGGGACGGCAGGCGGGCAGACUCGCCCUCUCGGUGACUGCGCCGUCCGGGCCCGUCCUGCCUGGCCGCAGGUGCCCCUGGAUGAGGCCGCUCUGCGCGCCCCGACCGCCCCACCUGGGAAUAUGGAUUCAACCCCCGGGCUAGGGGUUGAAUCAGAGCUGCAGCUGUGGCCUAUGCAACAGUGAUGGUAACACUGAAUCUGAGCUGCCUCUACAGUCACAGCUUAUGACAACUCCAGAUCCUUAAUCCACUGAGUGAGGCCCGCGGUCGAAUCCUCAUCCUCACAGAGACAACAGCAGGUCGUUUACCUGCUGAGCCACAGUGGGAACUCCAAGAAACAAUUAUUUUUGAAAUGGGCUUAUCUGCUCCAAGAUUGUCUUCACAUUGUAACUUCCAUUUUUAUUUGAAGAGUACUAUACAGGAAUCAUAUCCAGUCUUUCUAUUCUGAGCAAGAUUCCUCAGUCAGAGGUGGUAAUCAAGUAUUCAUAUGCUGUAUUUCAAGCAACUGAAGAGGAUAGAAGCAUAUUUAAAUUUUAUGUAUAAAUACACAUACACUUAAAAUGGAACAUGAACGAUAGAAUGAAAAUGAUUUGGGAACUGAACCUCAAACCUGCAUAUACAGUGAGUAGUCAGAGGAAGAAGGUUAAGAGCUUAGAGGUUGGAUAGAGAAGAAUAUUGAGGGAAACCAGGAUUUGGUAGGAGUUUAGCCCUAGCACAGAUAUUGGGUUCUGCAUGUUAGGUGUGUCUUUAUAUCUGGAAAUCUGCUGAAGUAUAUUCUAAAGCUAUAGGAUAAACUUAAUAAACAUGAAAUAUAAUCUGAUGGGAGAAGUCCAAGUACUUUCAUAAGGUUUAAAAUAUGCAUGUAGCCAAAGGGGAGCUGAUUUAUCUAAUUAUUUAUUUAGUCUUUGACUCUGGUUACUAACAUGAGACAAUAGUCCAUCCUUAUUACCCUUCAGGUGAUCCGUGCUGGGAAUAAUUUUAUUUAACAUUUUAAAAAAUGAUUUAAAGACAGACUGACAUUGGAAUUUGCCAGAGUUGCAGCUGACUCUGUGUACUGUUCCAGGCAGUUAAAA